UUUCCGUAGGUGAACCUGCGGAAGGAUCAUUCAUAAUAAGUGUUUUAUGGCACUUUUUUAAAUCCAUAUCCACCUUGUGUGCAAUGUCAGGGUUGAGUUUUCUCUCGAGAGGAUGAUCCCCAAACAUAAAAUAUAUCUAAACUCUUUGUCUGAAAAAUAUUAUGCAUACAACAAUUCAAAAUACAACUUUCAACAACGGAUCUCUUGGCUCUC
This 213-nucleotide unclassified non-coding RNA is filed under the name plant metagenome. Its description in RNAcentral is "partial contains small subunit ribosomal RNA, internal transcribed spacer 1, and 5.8S ribosomal RNA". The record is from RNAcentral.